Molecule: long non-coding RNA, 801 nt
Organism: Odocoileus virginianus texanus
Lineage: Eukaryota; Metazoa; Chordata; Mammalia; Artiodactyla; Cervidae
Source: RefSeq, a predicted model, not a curated record
CUAAUUCUAUUUAAAUAGCACACAGUGAGUAAGAAAUUAGAUUCCCCAUAGGACACUGCAGAAAGCCUGAAGCCUUAUUCUUCAAAAACAAAAACGUCAAAAGGAAAAUGAUGUUCAAGUUAUUAUUCAUGCUGCUCCUACUGUUUGCUGAUGUCACUUUGCGGAAAACCACAGCAAUGCCAACGGAUACCAGCCUAAGUUCUCAAACAACCACAAAUUCCAACACAACUCCAAAGCUCCAAACAUCUCUGGAUCCCAAGGCAACAAAGAAUACGGAAGUGACCUCAACGAUAGCCACAACCAUGAAUACAGAAAGUGUAGCCACAACCAAGAAUAUGAAAACUGUAGCCACAACCACGAGUACAAAAAAUGUAACUACAACCAAGAAUAUGAAAAGUGCAGCCACAACCAAGAAUAUGCAAAGUGCAGCCACAACCAUGAGCACAGAAAGUGUAGCUACAACCAAGAAUACAAAAAACGGUGGCAGCACAUUGAGUGCGGCGGACAGCACUCCCGUUCUUUUCUUCGUUGCCUUUCUGCUGUGUCUGCGUGCCUAGGCUGGAGUGGACGUGGGCUGUCUGCGCUGCUCUCAGUUCACCGUAUCCACCAAAUGGCAACAAGCGCACUGGGAAACCACAUUUAUCUCAGUUCACUUCUGAGUGCAUUACCAUCACCCUAGCUUAAUUUGGUUGUUUGCAAAUUUUAAUUGUGUAAGUUUAAUCACUACCUUAAUAUGAUGGCUUCCUUCCUUAUAAAUGCUAAAAAAAGGCAAAAUGCUCUGCGUUUUAAAUGUCUGCAAAA